GGGCUCGUGGUCUAGCCGGUAUGACGUCGCCUUGACAUGGCGGAGGUCAGGAGUUCGAAUCUCCUCGAGCCCA
Molecule: transfer RNA, 73 nt
Filed under: Methanoregulaceae archaeon
Lineage: Archaea; Methanobacteriati; Methanobacteriota; Methanomicrobia; Methanomicrobiales; Methanoregulaceae
Description: tRNA-Val
Rfam family: tRNA
About the family: Transfer RNA (tRNA) molecules are approximately 80 nucleotides in length.
Source: RNAcentral